GAAUAAUUAGCUCAAUGGUAGAGUAUUUCGUUUACACCGAAAAUGUUAGCGGUUCGAGUCCGUUAUUAUUCA
RNAcentral lists this transfer RNA (72 nucleotides) under Plasmopara viticola. RNAcentral describes it as "tRNA-Val". It matches the Rfam family "tRNA". Rfam says of the family: Transfer RNA (tRNA) molecules are approximately 80 nucleotides in length. Lineage: Eukaryota; Oomycota; Peronosporomycetes; Peronosporales; Peronosporaceae. The record is from RNAcentral.